This 253-nucleotide ribosomal RNA is filed under the name uncultured bacterium. Its description in RNAcentral is "partial 16S ribosomal RNA". It matches the Rfam family "Bacterial small subunit ribosomal RNA", at positions 524 to 776 of the family's 1533-position model. The record is from RNAcentral.
UACGUAGGGUGCAAGCGUUGUCCGGAAUUAUUGGGCGUAAAGAGCUCGUAGGUGGUUUGUCGCGUUGUUCGUGAAAACUCACAGCUUAACUGUGGGCGUGCGGGCGAUACGGGCAGACUUGAGUACUGCAGGGGAGACUGGAAUUCCUGGUGUAGCGGUGGAAUGCGCAGAUAUCAGGAGGAACACCGGUGGCGAAGGCGGGUCUCUGGGCAGUAACUGACGCUGAGGAGCGAAAGCGUGGGGAGCGAACAGG